Molecule: ribosomal RNA, 462 nt
Filed under: uncultured bacterium
Lineage: Bacteria
Description: bacterial SSU rRNA
Rfam family: Bacterial small subunit ribosomal RNA
Source: RNAcentral
CCUACGGGAGGCUGCAGUGGGGAAUAUUGCACAAUGGGCGCAAGCCUGAUGCAGCGACGCCGCGUGGGGGAUGACGGCCUUCGGGUUGUAAACUCCUUUCGUUAGGGACGAAGCCACACCUUUUUUGGGUGUGGUGACGGUACCUUUGUUAAGAAGCACCGGCUAACUACGUGCCAGCAGCCGCGGUAAUACGUAGGGUGCGAGCGUUGUCCGGAAUUACUGGGCGUAAAGAGCUCGUAGGUGGUUUGUUGCGUCGUCUGUGAAAUUCCGGGGCUUAACUUCGGGGUGGCAGGCGAUACGGGCAUAACUAGAGUGCUGUAGGGGAGACUGGAAUUCCUGGUGUAGCGGUGGAAUGCGCAGAUAUCAGGAGGAACACCGAUGGCGAAGGCAGGUCUCUGGGCAGUAACUGACGCUGAGGAGCGAAAGCAUGGGGAGCGAACAGGAUUAGAUACCCGUGUAGUC